GCUCAGGAUGAACGCUAGCUACAGGCUUAACACAUGCAAGUCGAGGGGCAGCAUUUUAGUUUGCUUGCAAACUGAAGAUGGCGACCGGCGCACGGGUGAGUAACACGUAUCCAACCUGCCGAUAACUCCGGAAUAGCCUUUCGAAAGAAAGAUUAAUACCGGAUAGUAUACGAAUAUCGCAUGGUAUUUUUAUUAAAGAAUUUCGGUUAUCGAUGGGGAUGCGUUCCAUUAGUUUGUUGGCGGGGUAACGGCCCACCAAGACUACGAUGGAUAGGGGUUCUGAGAGGAAGGUCCCCCACAUUGGAACUGAGACACGGUCCAAACUCCUACGGGAGGCAGCAGUGAGGAAUAUUGGUCAAUGGGCGAGAGCCUGAACCAGCCAAGUAGCGUGAAGGAUGAAGGCUCUAUGGGUCGUAAACUUCUUUUAUAUGGGAAUAAAGUUUUCCACGUGUGGAAUUUUGUAUGUACCAUAUGAAUAAGGAUCGGCUAACUCCGUGCCAGCAGCCGCGGUAAUACGGAGGAUCCGAGCGUUAUCCGGAUUUAUUGGGUUUAAAGGGAGCGUAGGUGGAUUGUUAAGUCAGUUGUGAAAGUUUGCGGCUCAACCGUAAAAUUGCAGUUGAAACUGGCAGUCUUGAGUACAGUAGAGGUGGGCGGAAUUCGUGGCGUAGCGGUGAAAUGCUUAGAUAUCACGAAGAACUCCGAUUGCGAAGGCAGCUCACUAGACUGUCACUGACACUGAUGCUCGAAAGUGUGGGUAUCAAACAGGAUUAGAUACCCUGGUAGUCCACACAGUAAACGAUGAAUACUCGCUGUUUGCGAUAUACAGUAAGCGGCCAAGCGAAAGCAUUAAGUAUUCCACCUGGGGAGUACGCCGGCAACGGUGAAACUCAAAGGAAUUGACGGGGGCCCGCACAAGCGGAGGAACAUGUGGUUUAAUUCGAUGAUACGCGAGGAACCUUACCCGGGCUUAAAUUGCAACAGAAUAUAUUGGAAACAGUAUAGCCGUAAGGCUGUUGUGAAGGUGCUGCAUGGUUGUCGUCAGCUCGUGCCGUGAGGUGUCGGCUUAAGUGCCAUAACGAGCGCAACCCUUAUCUUUAGUUACUAACAGGUGAUGCUGAGGACUCUAGAGAGACUGCCGUCGUAAGAUGUGAGGAAGGUGGGGAUGACGUCAAAUCAGCACGGCCCUUACGUCCGGGGCUACACACGUGUUACAAUGGGGGGUACAGAAGGCGGCUACCUGGUGACAGGAUGCUAAUCCCAAAAACCUCUCUCAGUUCGGAUCGAAGUCUGCAACCCGACUUCGUGAAGCUGGAUUCGCUAGUAAUCGCGCAUCAGCCAUGGCGCGGUGAAUACGUUCCCGGGCCUUGUACACACCGCCCGUCAAGCCAUGAAAGCCGGGGGUACCUGAAGUACGUAACCGCAAGGAGCGUCCUAGGGUAAAACUGGUA
RNAcentral lists this ribosomal RNA (1448 nucleotides) under uncultured organism. RNAcentral's name for it is "SSU rRNA". It matches the Rfam family "Bacterial small subunit ribosomal RNA". The record is from RNAcentral.